GUUGCUAAGGUGUUGUUCAUAGUUGCUAUACGAUUGCUAGGGUGUUGUUCAUAGUUGCUAUGAGGUUGCUAAGGUGUUGUUUGUACUUGCUGUGCAUUUUCUGGGGUGUUCUGAAUAGUUGCUAUGGGGUUGCUAGGGUGUAGUUCAUAGUUGCUAUGCAUUCUCUGGGGUGUUCUGAGUAGUUGCUAAGGUAUUGUUCAUAGUUGCUAUGAAGUUGCUAGGGUGUUGUUCAUAGUUGCUAUAAGGUUGCUAAGGUGUUCUUCAUAGUUGCUAUGAAGUUGCAGUUGCUAGGGUGUCUUCAGUAGUGCUUUUCAUUUUCUGGGGUGUUCUGAAUGAAACCUUAAAAGUAUCAGCAGAAACACACACACACACACACACACACAAACACUCACACACACACACACACAAUUACCUGUAGAAUCAUUUUACCUGUUGCUGAGUGAGUGUGUUUAGCAGUGAUGUGUGUGAGUUUACAUCCGUUUACAAGUACUCUAUCGCUCUCUUACAAACACUCACACACACACUCACACACACUCACACACACACACACACACACACACACACACACACACACACACACACACACACACACACACACGCACACACACACUCACACACACACACACACACACACACACACACUCACACACUCACACACAGGACGACAUAAUCCAUCAAUGUAUCAUUGCCUCAUAUUGCAUCAUGCUUCUUGCAGUUAUCUUUAGUAAUCAGUCUCUUCCAAAGUUUCACAAACUGAUUCAUGCUCACUUCGACUCUUCGUCUGUGUUUAUAGUGUUGAUCAGGAUUGUGUGUCAUUCAGACUGAAACAGGAAACGGAACGCAGUAACAUAUUUCACAUCUGAACCGAAAGGCAUGUCCUGUAAGAGCACGUCUGAACUACAUCGUUGCAUCAUUUUAAUAACUGAUGCUUGAGAUGUCUCUUAAACUGCACAAAUGCCUAUAAGUAUACAUUUAAAUAUUUGCUUAAUUGCACUUAAAGUAACUUUCAGUUUGUGUUUCUGGGUGGAAGUCAUUCAGAUUAGACAAAUACACUGUAAAUGUGCCUUUUCUGUCAUGUCAACUAGUUACGUGGUUGCUGCUGCAUCCUAAAUAUGUGGAGCAUUAACGAGCAACAUCUGAAUGAAGUGACUCAUUUAAUGAUUGUGUCGUCGUGACUAAUAAAAUCAGUCUGUUGUGUGACUGUGUUGACGGCCCUGGAAGUGCAAGUCAGUGAUUUCUCUUCCUGUUAGUUCAACUUCCUGUGCGUUUCUUACGCAUACCGUUCAAUAUAUUCAUACUUGUUGAAAUGUGAUUUUUAUUUCUGUCGUCACGCUGUAUUUCUUGUGGUGUUGUUCUGAAUACUGCGGCCUUUAGUGUUUCUCUCUGCGCUGCAAAGACUGAGAGUGAAACCUGCCUUAAACCCAGAGAGAGACGACAGGAACACACAGAUUAGAAGGACAGGAAGUGCAGGUGUAACUGUCUGAAGACUUCCUGUCUGAAAGAAGAGAAGAGAUCAUUGACUGAAUGGAUCAUCACAAAAGGUUUUAUCCUUGGAAUCAUUGAUAUUUUUACGCUUUUUAUUUGAAUUUUUUAAAUCUUUUUAUGUAAAACAGUUUGGUCGAACAGCAUUAAUGAUGUGUGUGUCCUGUAGAGGGCAGCGUGCACACACACACACACACACACACACACACACACACACACACACACACACACACACACACACACACACACACACA
Molecule: long non-coding RNA, 1736 nt
Organism: Puntigrus tetrazona (Sumatra barb)
Lineage: Eukaryota; Metazoa; Chordata; Actinopteri; Cypriniformes; Cyprinidae
Exons: 2
Source: RefSeq, a predicted model, not a curated record